This 222-nucleotide ribosomal RNA is filed under the name Triticum aestivum (bread wheat). RNAcentral describes it as "partial small subunit ribosomal RNA". The record is from RNAcentral. Lineage: Eukaryota; Viridiplantae; Streptophyta; Magnoliopsida; Poales; Poaceae.
UACAAACUUCUUAAGUUGGUGCUCAUUUUUCUGGUAGCCACUGCUAGUAUUGAGAGGGUAUUUCCCUUGAUGAAAUAUGUGAAGAAUUCGCUAAGAAACAAAAUGGAUGAUGAAUAUUUGAAGAAUUGCUUGGUUGCAUUCGUUGAGAGAAAAUUCUUCAAGCAAGUGAAAGAUGAUGUCAUCAAUCUCUUCCAAAAAGGGGAUCGUAAAGUCAUAUUGUAA